GUCGGUGUUCUAUUCUCGUGUGUCCCACCUCUUCCCUUUCCGAACAGAGAAGUGAAAGCAUGAGAAUCCGAUGAUACUUACGGGUUCGCCUGUGGGGAAAGUAGGAUAUGCCGACA
This 116-nucleotide ribosomal RNA is filed under the name bacterium. The record is from RNAcentral.